UUAUAUAUUAGUUAGGGGUUUAUGGAUUGGGCCAGACCAAUCUUUAAAUAAAAUAACAAAUGGAGUCAUGGAUUGACAUAAUUAUAAAUAGACUAUAAAUACGUACACAAUUUGUCUGAAAGUUUAAGAUUCGAGUUUCAGUGUAUGUACUUUAAUUUCUAUUUACUUAUAUAUCACUUAUCUUAAAUUGUUGUUUUACGUAAUUCUAACAUACUCUUUUCAAACAUGUGUGCGUCAUUAAGAGCAAGGUUUAAAAACCGGUUAACCGGUAACCGGUUCUGGCUGACCGGGUUUCCGGUUAGGCCGGUUAACCAGUGGUUAACCGGUGGAGGUAUUUUCGUAAUUUUUUCUUCUUCAUAAAUUCACUAAGGCCAAAAAUAUAUUUUUAUGCCAAAAAUUUAUACAUUGGUCCAUGAAAAGAACUGUAUUAUUUUAAUAAAAGUUCCUCCCACUCUUAAGAAUUCA
RNAcentral lists this long non-coding RNA (465 nucleotides) under Zostera marina. Its description in RNAcentral is "long non-coding RNA (ZMAR_LNC004179)". Lineage: Eukaryota; Viridiplantae; Streptophyta; Magnoliopsida; Alismatales; Zosteraceae. The record is from RNAcentral.